RNAcentral lists this ribosomal RNA (263 nucleotides) under uncultured archaeon. RNAcentral describes it as "partial 16S ribosomal RNA". It matches the Rfam family "Archaeal small subunit ribosomal RNA", at positions 748 to 1008 of the family's 1478-position model. The record is from RNAcentral.
AGGGUGUAAACGCUGCAGACUUGGUGUUGGGAACCCUUCGGGGGUGCUCAGUGCCGGAGAGAAGUUGUUAAGUCUGCUACUUGGGGAGUACGUCCGCAAGGAUGAAACUUAAAGGAAUUGGCGGGGGGAGGCACCGCAACGGGAGGAGCGUGCGGUUUAAUUGGAUUCAACGCCGGAAAACUCACCAGCAGCGACUGUUACAUGAAGGCCGAGAUGAAGACUCUGCUAGAUUUUCAGAGAGGAGGUGCAUGGCGUCAGUGACU